Molecule: ribosomal RNA, 206 nt
Filed under: uncultured bacterium
Lineage: Bacteria
Description: partial 16S ribosomal RNA
Rfam family: Bacterial small subunit ribosomal RNA
Source: RNAcentral
UACGGGGGGAGCAAGCGUUGUUCGGAUUUACUGGGCGUAAAGGGCGCGUAGGCGGUCGUGACAAGUCACUUGUGAAAUCUCCGGGCUUAACUCGGAACGGUCAAGUGAUACUGUCGGACUAGAGUACAGAAGGGGCAACUGGAAUUCUCGGUGUAGCGGUGAAAUGCGUAGAUAUCGAGAGGAACACCUGCGGCGAAGGCGGGUUG